UACGUAGGGGGCUAGCGUUGUCCGGAAUCAUUGGGCGUAAAGCGCGUGUAGGCGGUCCGGUAAGUCCGCUGUGAAAGUCGGGGGCUCAACCCUGGAAAGCCGGUUGAUACUGUCGGGCUAGAGUCCGGAAGAGGCGAGUGGAAUUCCCGGUGUAGCGGUGAAAUGCGCAGAUAUCGGGAGGAACACCAAUGGCGAAGGCAGCUCGCUGGGACGGUACUGACGCUGAGACGCGAAAGCGUGGGGAGCAAACAGG
RNAcentral lists this ribosomal RNA (253 nucleotides) under uncultured bacterium. RNAcentral's name for it is "partial 16S ribosomal RNA". It matches the Rfam family "Bacterial small subunit ribosomal RNA", at positions 524 to 776 of the family's 1533-position model. The record is from RNAcentral.